GUUUUUAUACCACCCUGAACAUGCCUGAUCUUGUCUGAUCUUGGAAGCUAAGCAGGAUUGGGCCUGGUUAGUACUUGGAUGAGAGACCACCUGAGAAAACUGGGUGCUGUAGGCU
Ribosomal RNA from Loxodonta africana (African savanna elephant), 115 nucleotides. Lineage: Eukaryota; Metazoa; Chordata; Mammalia; Proboscidea; Elephantidae. The record is from Ensembl.